Molecule: ribosomal RNA, 253 nt
Filed under: uncultured bacterium
Lineage: Bacteria
Description: partial 16S ribosomal RNA
Rfam family: Bacterial small subunit ribosomal RNA
Source: RNAcentral
UACGUAGGGGGCUAGCGUUGUCCGGAAUCAUUGGGUGUAAAGCGCGUGUAGGCGGUCCGGUAAGUCCGCUGUGAAAGUCGGGGGCUCAACCCUCGGAUGCCGGUGGAUACUGUCGGGCUUGAGUACGGAAGAGGCGAGUGGAAUUCCUGGUGUAGCGGUGAAAUGCGCAGAUAUCAGGAGGAACACCAAUUGCGAAGGCAGCUCGCUGGGACGUUACUGACGCUGAGACGCGAAAGCGUGGGGAGCAAACAGG